RNAcentral lists this ribosomal RNA (893 nucleotides) under Spathularia flavida. Its description in RNAcentral is "partial large subunit ribosomal RNA". It matches the Rfam family "Eukaryotic large subunit ribosomal RNA", at positions 49 to 964 of the family's 3401-position model. Lineage: Eukaryota; Fungi; Ascomycota; Leotiomycetes; Rhytismatales; Cudoniaceae. The record is from RNAcentral.
AUCGGGAGCAGACCAACAGGGAUGCCUCAGUAACGGCGAGUGAAGCGGCAACAGCUCAAAUUUGAAAGCUGGCCCUUUCAGGGUCCGCGUUGUAAUUUGUAGAGGAUGCUUCGGGCGCGGCGCUGGUCUAAGUUCUUUGGAACAAGACGUCAUAGAGGGUGAGAAUCCCGUAUGUGACUAGCUGCCUGUGCCUGUGUGAAGCUCCUUCGACGAGUCGAGUUGUUUGGGAAUGCAGCUCAAAAUGGGUGGUGUACUUCAUCUAAAGCUAAAUAUUGGCCAGAGACCGAUAGCGCACAAGUAGAGUGAUCGAAAGAUGAAAAGCACUUUGGAAAGAGAGUUAAACAGUACGUGAAAUUGUUGAAAGGGAAGCGCUUGCAAUCAGACUUGCGCGGCGUCGAUCAGCCUGGGUUCUCCCUGGUGCACUCGGCGCUGCUCAGGCCAGCAUCAGUUUCAGCGGUUGGAUAAAGGCCUAGGGAACGUGGGUUACUUCGGUGACUGUUAUAGCCCUAGGUGCAAUGCAGCCUGUUGGGACUGAGGACCGCGCUUCGGCUAGGAUGCUGGCGUAAUGGUUGUAAGCGACCCGUCUUGAAACACGGACCAAGGAGUCUAACAUCUAUGCGAGUUUUUGGGUGUCAAACCCAUAAGCGUAAUGAAAGUGAACGGAGGUGAGAACCCUUAAGGGUGCAUCAUCGACCGAUCCUGAUGUCUUCGGAUGGAUUUGAGUAAGAGCAUAGCUGUUGGGACCCGAAAGAUGGUGAUCUAUACUUGAAUAGGGUGAAGCCAGAGGAAACUCUGGUGGAGGCUCGCAGCGGUUCUGACGUGCAAAUCGAUCGUCAAAUUUGGGUAUAGGGGCGAAAGACUAAUCGAACCAUCUAGUAGCUGGUUCACGCGGU